Molecule: ribosomal RNA, 785 nt
Filed under: Lacrimispora sphenoides
Lineage: Bacteria; Bacillati; Bacillota; Clostridia; Lachnospirales; Lachnospiraceae
Description: bacterial SSU rRNA
Rfam family: Bacterial small subunit ribosomal RNA
Source: RNAcentral
CGAUUCAAAUGAAGUUUUCGGACGGAUUUUGAAUUGACUUAGCGGCGGACGGGUGAGUAACGCGUGGGUAACCUGCCUCAUACAGGGGGAUAACAGUUGGAAACGACUGCUAAUACCGCAUAAGCACACAGUGCCGCAUGGUACGGUGUGAAAAACUCCGGUGGUAUGAGAUGGACCCGCGUCUGAUUAGGUAGUUGGUGAGGUAACGGCCCACCAAGCCGACGAUCAGUAGCCGACCUGAGAGGGUGACCGGCCACAUUGGGACUGAGACACGGCCCAAACUCCUACGGGAGGCAGCAGUGGGGAAUAUUGGACAAUGGGGGAAACCCUGAUCCAGCGACGCCGCGUGAGUGAAGAAGUAUUUCGGUAUGUAAAGCUCUAUCAGCAGGGAAGAAAAUGACGGUACCUGACUAAGAAGCCCCGGCUAACUACGUGCCAGCAGCCGCGGUAAUACGUAGGGGGCAAGCGUUAUCCGGAUUUACUGGGUGUAAAGGGAGCGUAGACGGCACUGCAAGUCUGGAGUGAAAGCCCGGGGCUCAACCCCGGGACUGCUUUGGAAACUGUGGUGCUAGAGUGCAGGAGAGGUAAGUGGAAUUCCUAGUGUAGCGGUGAAAUGCGUAGAUAUUAGGAGGAACACCAGUGGCGAAGGCGGCUUACUGGACUGUAACUGACGUUGAGGCUCGAAAGCGUGGGGAGCAAACAGGAUUAGAUACCCUGGUAGUCCACGCCGUAACGAUGAAUACUAGGUGUUGGGGAGCAAAGCUCUUCGGUGCCGCCGCUAACGC